GUCUAUGGCCAUGCCACCCUGAACAAGCCCGAUCCCGUCUGAUCUCAGAAGCUAAGCAGGGUCGAGCCCUGUCUGAUCUCGAAAGCUAAGCAGGGUUGAGCCUGGUUAGUACUUAGAUGGGAGACUACCUAGGAAAACCGGGUGCUGUAGGCG
RNAcentral lists this ribosomal RNA (153 nucleotides) under Pteropus alecto (black flying fox). The record is from RNAcentral. Lineage: Eukaryota; Metazoa; Chordata; Mammalia; Chiroptera; Pteropodidae.